ACUCAGGCAUGGGCGUUGGGGGCGGCAGUGGCUGUCGAGCGCGGGCCGGAGACCAGGCACGGCUCCCCGGGCGGGCGCGCCGGCGUCGGACUUCCGAGGCGGCGGCUUCUGCUCUUGUGCCGCCGCCGCCGCCGGAGCUGCGGCUGCCGCGGAAGUUAAUUGCAACUUGACUUCAAGUUGUCUUCUUUCCCCAUCCGAAGUGGGCGUUUAAAGGGGAGAGCGAGGCGAGGAGCGAGCGAGCGAGCGCGCGGGGCCGAGGGAAGGAAGAGAAGGGGGGAGGGAGGAGAUGUUACCGGGGGGAGGGGAGGGGGAGGGGGCGGCUGGGGGCGGGAGGGGGAAAGGGGCCGGCGGGAGCUGCUCUCGGCUCGGCGGCCGCCGCGCCCGCAGUCUGGAGGCGCACCGGAGCGGCCGGGGCGCCCCUCGCGGGAGCCCGCAGCCACCGGGGCGCGCAUCCAGCCGCGGCUCCUCGGCCGGGCACGCUGCGCCCGGGGGCUCGGCGGACCCCGCGCCGCCGCCGCUUCGGAGCUUGUGCGCGGGCUGGCCGGCGGGGCGGCGAGGGCCCAACCCGCCUCCCCAGCGCCCGCCCCGGCUUCUCCCCCUGGCGGUGGAGCCUCGGCGGCCGCCGGCACCAGCAGGCGCGCUGGAGCCCGAGCCGAGCCGAGCCCGAGCCGCCGCCGCCGCCGCGCGCCGCUCCCAGGCUCCCUCCCAGCGCGCCGGCCGGGGUGUGGGGGGCGGCGGGCCGAGGGGCGAUGGCGGGUGGGGGGCGCGCCCUGGGGCUGGCGCCGAAGACCGGACCCUCCUCUGCCAGGGAUGAGAAAACUGGAACACUGACAGAUCAAGUAUCUUUCUCAAGAUUGCAUAGCCAAUGAGUAGAGGAGCAAGGAUUUGAACCAGGCUGUUGGCUCCACAGCCUACGCUUGAACCUGCUCUAGGCUGUCGGAAGCAACCUAAAUAGCUAACAACUGGAGAUUUGCUAAGGUGUUGCGGGCCUCUGCUCUCGUAAUACUUCAGCUACAGAACCCACGUGUGAACGCUCCUAGUUGCAGCCAUGCUCCCUUGCACGUUUUUUUGCGGAGGAAGAUUAGCCCUGAACUAACAUCUGUGUGCAUCUUGCUGUACUUUAUAUGUGCGACACCUGCCACAGCAUAGGUCCACACCCAGGAUCCGAACCAGUGAACCCUGUGCCACCAAAGCAGAACGCGUGAACUUAACCACUAUGCCAUUAGGCUGGUCCACCUUGCACUUUCUUUUAUUUCAGAUGAUUUUGUACUUUCUUUGUAACUCACUCUAAAUAAUGCGUGUUGUUUUGCAUUUUUUAUAUCAGGAAGCGAAAUAUUAAAAAAUUUAUCAAAGUUGUAGGAAAAAGGGCACUCCCAUAAUAGAAAAAAAAAUGUAGCUUUAUGUCAUCAUUUUUUUAGAGAUUCUCUAGAGGUGAGCAGGGUUCCUUUAAAAAUAUGAAAUGAUAUAUUAUUUGAAAGUUGCUUGAACUACCACUGAUUGAGAUGGUAAAUUGGCACAACAGUUGUGCAAUAGCCAUUUAAAAAACAGAAAAACCUUCAACUGUGUAUAACCAUUCAAACAGAGAUAUUCACUUUUAGAAAUUUAUGCUACAGAAAUACAGAUAUGUUCACAAUUAAGCAUGAGACUGUUCAUUGUGGCAUGAGAUAUAUUAGGGGAAAAUUGGAAACAUCCUAAUGUCUAAACAUAGAUGCUAGUUUAAUAAAUUAUAAUACAUCCAAUCUAUAAAAUUCCAUUUACCAUCACAUAGAAAUCAUAUAGAAAAUAUUUAAUGAUGUGAGAAAUACAAAACAUUAAGUGGAAAAAGUAAGCUAGAAAACAGUUUGUCUAAAAUGAUCACAUACAUAAUAUAUAUACAUAUGGUCUGUCAUACAAUAAAAUGUUAACAGGUCAAUUAUGUCUCAAUAAAACUGGAAAAAUGUUAUUGGUGUCUGUUUCUGUGUGUUGGGAUUAUGAGAUUAUUUUCUUUUUUGUUUAUAUUUAUUGAUUUCUU
This 2011-nucleotide long non-coding RNA is filed under the name Equus asinus (donkey). RNAcentral describes it as "lncRNA (ENSEASG00005030063.1)". The record is from RNAcentral. Lineage: Eukaryota; Metazoa; Chordata; Mammalia; Perissodactyla; Equidae.